RNAcentral lists this ribosomal RNA (253 nucleotides) under uncultured bacterium. RNAcentral's name for it is "partial 16S ribosomal RNA". It matches the Rfam family "Bacterial small subunit ribosomal RNA", at positions 524 to 776 of the family's 1533-position model. The record is from RNAcentral.
UACAGAGGGUGCGAGCGUUGUUCGGAAUUACUGGGCGUAAAGCGUGCGCAGGCGGUUUUGUAAGCCAGAUGUGAAAUCCCCGGGCUUAACCUGGGAAUGGCAUUUGGGACUGCAAGGCUGGAGUGUGGCAGAGGAGACUGGAAUUCCUGGUGUAGCGGUGAAAUGUGUAGAGAUCGGGAGGAACACCGGUGGCGAAGGCGGGUCUCUGGGCAAUUCCUGACGCUGAGGCGCGAAAGCGUGGGGAGCAAACGGG